UGAGAAGUAAUCAAUACUAUUAAAAGGGAAGGAGUCCUAAAAAACUACUUAAAACAAGUCAUAAUUGGACCAUUUCAUUUAACUAGAAUUCCUAUUAUUUCUCAUACUACUAACUUCAUUAUUCUUCACUAAAGACAAAUUAGUCAUAAAAAAUGAUACUAACAUAAUUCUCUACAUAUACAUUUACUAUAUACACAUUAUUCCAUCAUAAUUAUUUUGUGUUAUUAUUAAAUAAUGUCCACCCUAUAUUUGUAAUGAUUACUUGUAAUUUAUUUAAUAGUAAAUAUCUUUGGAGACUAUAAACAUAAUACAAUAUCUAUUGUAAAAAAAAUUGCAUCUUUUACAAAGAUCAACCAUUAUUUUAUACCAACCUUAUUAACUAAACUGAUCUCAUUAACCAUGUUAUAUAUAUGGACACUUCAGCAUUAUCAUUCACAAACUAAAGGAUGUUUGUCACAACUUAAUAUUCCAAAUUGGUUGUAUUAUUUAAUACCAAACCAGUUCUUAUACGAAUCCAUAUAUAUGAUUAUGGUCUACAUAAAACUGGUUCAAUCUUUCCAUCUGCUAUAUUUUCAGAAAAUUGCUAUUUAUCUUUGGUUCUGUUAAAUAUUUAGUCUAACUAAUUAUAAAUCGGUUAGUGAUAACUUCUAAAAACUUUGAAAACACAUAGUUAUGUAUUAACACUAUAUCGAUACUUUAAAAUAGGUUAGCAGUAGAAUUGUGUGUUUAGAACAAAAUUUACUUAUUUUAAAACAUAAUAUUAUUUUGAAAAUAGUUUUGAUACUAUGUGUUAUAUUAAACAUAGUUAUAUAUAUAUUUUAAAUAAAUAAUUAUAUACAUAAUUUAUACUUUUGGUUAACUAAUUUAUUUAUCAACCAAAUAAAAAUAUUCAGGUAAUUCAAGUUUUCGGGUUAUCCGGUUUAUAAAUAGAAUUUUUAUGAUAUUUGGUUAUUUAAAAUUGAAUGUAAUUAAUAUUUUUAAAUAUAUAGUUUUUAUUUGAAAAUUCAGGUACUCAUUUGGUUCUCGGUUUGGUUUUAAUUUUUCAGUCAUAGAUAUAUGGUUUGCUCUAUUAUUUAUGCAAUUCAGUUCAAUUUUGGUUUUUCAGUUUAGUACGGAUUGGUCUGUGUUUUUGGAUAAAUGUGCUCAAACUUAUACAUUAUCUUAUAUAGAAAUUUGUUUAAAAUAUAUUUAAUUAUAAAAACAAAUCCGCGCUUUUCAAGCACGGGUCAAAAUCUAGUUUGUAGUUAAAAUACAACUGUGACAAAUACCACCUAAUGAGAUGGUUUUUGAUAAAACAGAACAGUUCUUUGAUUUUUAUCGUUUAGACCUUAAUGGCUAUAAAAAAAAAAAGAGAGGUAAUUGAAUCAGUUGAGAACUGCUGGUUUGGUGAUUAAAAAGCUGCUGAAAUUUUGUGUGUCGGCUCCUUCUAGUGUUACCUGCUUGCACCUGGAAGAAGCUCCCGUAAACCUAUAAGGGAAUUGUCUUGAAAAGGAGAACAAUAUGAUCGGAGAAGAAUCCGAUCGAGACGAGUUCAAGAGGAGGAUCGGGAAGACUAUAAAGAUGAAGUUAAAAUCGGAGAACUGGGUUUGUCCGCUCUAAUACUGUAUUGAUAUUUUAAUUCUAUCAAUCAUCUUCAAUUUUGACCUCUUCGUUAAUAGUUAAUCUUUUGAUUUUAAUGAAUCAAGUGGUUCAAGUGGUCGUUUGUUUUGUAUUUACUGUUAAAGUCAAAUUGGGUUUUGUUUUCAUACAAGUUACACCAGAGAAAAGAAAAAAAUUCAAGGUACAUCUCACUCUGAUACGUUGUGCACACGUACAUGUAACAUUUAAGUCUGAGCUUGCUAACCUUGAGGCCAACUUUGUUUAGAAGUUCAGUGAAGAUAUUAUAUGUUUUCCAUCGACUUGUCCUUGUGUGAGGGUGGUGCAGGUUGAUGCUGGUGGGGUGGCACAAUCAGCUGUAGAAUUUUUUGAACAAGUAAACAAUUUGAACCACGUCACAGAAUUUGUUUGUGCAAUGAAGAAUGAAGAUGUUGCACGAGAAAGGAGAGUACAGUCAAGGGAAAGAAAGCUAAAUAGAGAAAGCUCUAAACUCUGGUGGACACAGGUGGCAAGAAAUCCAAUUCGAUGGGACCUCACGGUGCCGAUGUGUCCAAGAACCACGCAUGUUCCUUCGCCUGACCGUCAAAGCACCACCCGUAGAGUCGCCCCGCGGCCCCAAACGCCUGAACUGAAAGAUUGAGGUUGGCUCUAUAACCCUAACGCCGUAAUCCGUCUGAAACUCACCCUUCCUCCUAGGUCCGAGAGACCACAUAUACCUUCUCACAGUUACGGCGGCGAAACAAAGAUUCCGAACCAGAGAGAAGCCAUCAAGAGAACCGCCAUCCCAUAUAGUAGAACCUCCAACAUAGAAACUCGCUCCACCCAUGCACCAAACUCCGGUAGUAGACUAGCGGUUAACGGCGCCGUUCCCGCUCUUCUAAUAGGAAGCUGACAGCCUGACACCUUCACCGACGAACCACCAGAGCGACGGUGCUCACCUAGAGAGCUGCAGCACCAUAGACCAGUGUCGUGCUAGAACUUUUGGGAGCUCAUGGCUAAUUUUAAAAAUAAAAUUUUAAAAUAUGUAAUAGAAAAUAUGAAUUUUAAUUGUGAUACAAAAACCAUUUUUAUUAGUAAUUUAAAAGUAAAGGUUAAAAUCAUAAGUAGAAAACUGGUAUUUUUAGAGAAAGUUAAAAUAAUAAUCUGGUAUUUUAGAAAGAUAAAGAUAAUCAUUUAAAUACAAAUGAUAAAAAUAAUAAAAAUAAAAGUGAUAAUAACAUAAUAUUGAAUAAAAAUAAUGGUAGGUAAAGUAUACAACAUUUUGUCAGUUUUGAUAGAUAAAAUAUGUAUGUUGAAACUUAUUAUUAUUAUUUUUUUAUGAAUUCCUUUAUCAAACUAUCAUAAUGUAUAAAUAAAAAUACAAACAACUAACUUUUGGUAAGGAAAAAAUUGGAUUAUAGUAAGUAACAAAAGCAAAACAAAAAUCAGAAUUGUGAGUUGGAGCGUAUCGGUUCUUAAAUUAAUUAUUUGCAUUUUAGUUAACACAUAUUAAAAUUGAUUAGGAUAAAACAUUCAGCAAAAACAAAAAUCAAAUUCAGAAUCAGGUGAAAAUCUAUCUAAAACUAUACAUUUAGCUCUAUAGAAUAAUUUUAUAAAACUAGGGGGCCUAAAUUUGCACAUUUUCAGAACCUUUUUUCAAACCAUGGUAAGCACGUCUCUGCCAGAGACCUAACCCAACCGGAAGGGGAGAGAGAGAUAUACCACCUUGACGAUACAUGACGAUUAAUCCUCUGUCUUGUUGAUCAGAUACCGGGUGGGAAGACGAGACGAGCUCCGACGAGGUCAGCGGAAGACACGCAGCGCCUCCACUCAUGGAGAACACGAAGCUUGAAGAUGAGAGAAAAAGUUUGCCGCCCAUUAGAUGCACUCGCGCCACUCAAAGGUCGACCAUGUAACUUUCGUAGUGACCUAGUUGAUACAAUUAUUGCGAAUCGAAUAUGGAAUAGAUAUGCAUGUUAGUUCAUUUUCGAAGAAAAUAAGAGGACUUGUUCCUGACUUCCUGCUCUCAAGUUUCUCUACCUAAAUGGUAAACCGGAACUAAUAUAUGAAUAGCCAAAUCGUUCAUACUAGACCAUCUGACCAUGUAUGUUUCAAAUUCAAUUGUCUAAACUUCCACGUUAAAAGUCACCAACAUGGAAUUUAUAGAUGUGAACUUUGGAAGGCUGUAAAAGACAGUCUUGUUUUCAAACAUAAAGUUUGAGUCAAAAACAUUUUUGUAACACAAACGUUUUCGGGUUUGAGAUAAUCUUUGCACUGUGUUACAAAAAAAAAGAUAUCUUUGCAAAAUGCAAGCACAAAGAAAAUGUUUCAGGUUUGAGCUAUUAAAACAAAACUUGUACAGUACACAAAAAAA
Molecule: long non-coding RNA, 3949 nt
Organism: Brassica rapa (field mustard)
Lineage: Eukaryota; Viridiplantae; Streptophyta; Magnoliopsida; Brassicales; Brassicaceae
Source: RefSeq, a predicted model, not a curated record